GAUGAACGCUAGCGAUAGGCUUAACACAUGCAAGUCGAGGGGUAACAUGGGAGUAGCUUGCUACUUCUGAUGACGACCGGCGGAUGGGUGAGUAACGCGUAUGCAACUUGCCUCUUAGUGGGGAACAACAGUUGGAAACGACUGCUAAUACCGCAUAAUGUUAUUGAACGGCAUCGUUUGAUAACCAAAGAUUUAUUGCUGAGAGAUGGCCUCGCGUCUGAUUAGCUAGUUGGUGGGGUAACGGCCCACCAAGGCGACGAUCAGUAGCCGGACUGAGAGGUUGACCGGCCACAUUGGGACUGAGAUACGGCCCAG
RNAcentral lists this ribosomal RNA (315 nucleotides) under uncultured bacterium. RNAcentral describes it as "bacterial SSU rRNA". It matches the Rfam family "Bacterial small subunit ribosomal RNA", at positions 28 to 334 of the family's 1533-position model. The record is from RNAcentral.